CCUACGGGAGGCAGCAGUGAGGAAUAUUGGUCAAUGGGCGAGAGCCUGAACCAGCCAAGUCGCGUGAGGGAGUACUGCCCUAUGGGUUGUAAACCUCUUUUGUCGGGGAGCAAAAGCCGGACGUGUCCGGCUGUGAGAGUACCCGAAGAAAAAGCAUCGGCUAACUCCGUUCCAGCAGCCGCGGUAAUACGGAGGAUGCGAGCGUUAUCCGGAUUUAUUGGGUUUAAAGGGUGCGCAGGCGGAUUUUUAAGUCAGCGGUAAAAUCGUGGGGCUCAACCCCAUCCAGCCGUUGAAACUGGGGAUCUAGAGUGUGCGAGAGGUAUGCGGAAUGCGUGGUGUAGCGGUGAAAUGCAUAGAUAUCACGCAGAACCCCGAUUGCGAAGGCAGCAUACCGGUGCACAACUGACGCUCAGGCACGAAAGCGUGGGUAUCGAACAGGAUUAGAUACCCGGGUAGUC
This 458-nucleotide ribosomal RNA is filed under the name uncultured bacterium. RNAcentral describes it as "partial 16S ribosomal RNA". It matches the Rfam family "Bacterial small subunit ribosomal RNA", at positions 338 to 795 of the family's 1533-position model. The record is from RNAcentral.